Mobula hypostoma (lesser devil ray) is the source of this 2410-nucleotide long non-coding RNA. RefSeq lists it as uncharacterized. The transcript has 3 exons. The record is from RefSeq and is a predicted model, not a curated record. NCBI's taxonomy places the organism in Eukaryota, Metazoa, Chordata, Chondrichthyes, Myliobatiformes, Myliobatidae.
AAGGAAUAAAAACCGUUCGGGUCCAGUCUUUUAUAGUCUAGCUACGGGACACAGAAAGAAACGCCAGCCUGGCAAAGCAGAACAGAACAGGGAAAGAGGAUGACUCUUGAAGAAUUCCAUGCCCUUCUUUCGUCUUGUCUCUGGAUGUUUAUCAUCUAUCUGAAUGGGCACAUGGUGUCACAGUUUAAUGUCUCAUCAUAAAAAGUGCUACGAACGGCCGUGAGCUCUGGAACAGAGACACUGAUCAUGGAGGCUCAACUUCAAUGGGUUGGACAUGCAGAUGGAAGACAACCGCCUUCGAAAGAUGGUAUUUUUUUCUGAGCUGGCACAUGGCACUGGAAAGCAGGGAGGCCCCACAAAGUGCUAUAAAAACACUGCGAAAGUGUCCUUGAAGGCAUACAAUAUACCUGUGACUGGUUAGGAGGACUUGGCCAAAGACCGCAACGCCUGGCGCCUGGCAGUCUACGAAGGAACCAGCACAUUCGAAGAGCCGAGGCUGAUAAACCUUGAUCAAAGUGCCAGGGCUGCGAGGAAAAAUGACCUGACUUUUCAAUGGCUGUAACAUGCCCAACCUGUGGGCGCAUCUGUGCUUCCCAUUUCGGGCUUUGCUCUCAUCAGAGGCAUCACUGACACCAUUAUCAUUCCCGACUGACUUCCAAGAAGAAGAUUGGGUCUAAAUAAUUGCAUCUCCAGACCAAUCCAACAGUUACAGAAUGGCUACCAAGAAUGAUCAAUUUAUCUUGAUUCUGAUUUUUAUUAGCUAAUCAUCAGUCCAUACCUUACCCUAAUACAUUGCAUUCUUUCCUUAUGUUGUUACCACCAUUCCCUCUAAGCUGCGCAGGUGCGUGACUUGACUUUACUUUAUCGUUGCCAAACAAUUGAUAAUCAUCACGGCGAUAUUUGAUUCUGCGCUUCGCACUCCCUGGAGUACAAAGUUGAUAGUAAAUAUUAAAAAUUUAAAUUAUAAAUCAUAAAUAGAAAAUAGAAAAGGGAAAGUAAGAUAGUGCAAAAAAAAAACCGAGAGGCCGGUCCGGGUAUUUGGAGGGUACGGCCCAGAUCUGGGACUGCGCAGUAACUAAAAUGCUCCCACGUAUAUAGCCUUUGUUGAUGUGCACCUGGAGUUUUCUUUUGUACUGUAUAAUAUGCCAUGCAGUUUUCAGGCCAUGUAAAAUACUCUGCUUGGAGCAAUGGCUGGUCUAUGCAGGUGUAAAAAAAUUGGAAAGAACUUUAGUUGUAACCAUAUACAUGAUAGCUAUCAAAUGCGUUUUAGAAAUCUAAAUGCACUGCUUGGUACAUCUUCAAAUAACUCUCAAAAAUACCACAACAUAGUUUCCUUUCAUAAACCAUGUUGAACAGCAUCUGCAUGUUCCUCUUCACAUUGCACAACCUCUUGAAUUAGAACUACGUUGCUGUUCCUUGAUCGUCACUGGCUCUAAAUUCUGAAACUCCAUCCCAGCAACACUUCGGAAUCGCUCUGAAUAAAAAUCAUGUAGCAGUUCAGGAAGAUGCUUAUCAAGGAGAAAAUUGGAGUGAACAGUAAGUGUUGAUCAUGCCAGUAAUGUAAGUUCUUAGUUAUAGAUUUCAGUAUUUUCUCAAAAUUAGCUCUUAGAUGAGUCUGUACAGGACUAGGUAAUAUCUCUGUAAUGUCUUCCACUGCUUUUCCACCAUAUAUCUUUUAAUCUAUUUUCCACUCAAAUUUGUAACGGUCUCUACUUAGGCCUAAGACACACAUUUCAGACACACAGUAGUCAGACUGAAUAUGGAAUUCCAUCAUUCUGUUGGUCAAUCAAUAAAAAGUUAUGAGUUAAGAAGUGUAUUCUGUAGAGUUUGUUCUGCACAGACAAAAUAGACUGAAGUUAUCCAAUGUAUCUAAAUAAGGAUAUAAAAUCCAUAAUUUAGCUGCAAGAUAGAAGUAACUAAGAAAAUAUUUUCUGCAAACAAGAUAGCGCACAGCCAGCAUUGUUGAUUUGUUUUUAUUGACUGGAGUUGAACGAUUCAAAUUUUGGUCUCAUUUAUUUUCAUGUUAAUUAUAAACAACAUUGGAGGUUUCUAAGCCACAGAAUGAAAUUCAGAUUUUCUGCUUAUCAUGCACUUUUGAAGACUGUAACAAUAACACACAAUACUUAGAUGUGUAACAUAUAAAACAAAGAUAUGCAGUUUACUAGCAGUUGCCAAGUGUAUUCUGACCCAAUGCCACAAUGCUAAAUAAAGCUUAUGAACCAUUCUACACAACUUUCAACUUUGCAAGGAUUAGUUUCUGAAGCACGGCAAAUACUUAAGGAUUAAGCAGCACAUUUUUUAACUUGGUGGCUAAUCAGUUGUUUAUGAUCUCUGCUACACUCAUUUUUAAUGGAAAUUGUUUAUUUUGUGAAAAUCUAUUCUUGAGAGAAGAAAGUUCACUCACUCUUGA